Molecule: ribosomal RNA, 800 nt
Filed under: Latilactobacillus sakei
Lineage: Bacteria; Bacillati; Bacillota; Bacilli; Lactobacillales; Lactobacillaceae
Description: bacterial SSU rRNA
Rfam family: Bacterial small subunit ribosomal RNA
Source: RNAcentral
UGCAGUCGACGCACUCUCGUUUAGAUUGAAGGAGCUUGCUCCUGAUUGAUAAACAUUUGAGUGAGUGGCGGACGGGUGAGUAACACGUGGGUAACCUGCCCUAAAGUGGGGGAUAACAUUUGGAAACAGAUGCUAAUACCGCAUAAAACCUAACACCGCAUGGUGUAGGGUUGAAAGAUGGUUUCGGCUAUCACUUUAGGAUGGACCCGCGGUGCAUUAGUUAGUUGGUGAGGUAAAGGCUCACCAAGACCGUGAUGCAUAGCCGACCUGAGAGGGUAAUCGGCCACACUGGGACUGAGACACGGCCCAGACUCCUACGGGAGGCAGCAGUAGGGAAUCUUCCACAAUGGACGAAAGUCUGAUGGAGCAACGCCGCGUGAGUGAAGAAGGUUUUCGGAUCGUAAAACUCUGUUGUUGGAGAAGAAUGUAUCUGAUAGUAACUGAUCAGGUAGUGACGGUAUCCAACCAGAAAGCCACGGCUAACUACGUGCCAGCAGCCGCGGUAAUACGUAGGUGGCAAGCGUUGUCCGGAUUUAUUGGGCGUAAAGCGAGCGCAGGCGGUUUCUUAAGUCUGAUGUGAAAGCCUUCGGCUCAACCGAAGAAGUGCAUCGGAAACUGGGAAACUUGAGUGCAGAAGAGGACAGUGGAACUCCAUGUGUAGCGGUGAAAUGCGUAGAUAUAUGGAAGAACACCAGUGGCGAAGGCGGCUGUCUGGUCUGUAACUGACGCUGAGGCUCGAAAGCAUGGGUAGCAAACAGGAUUAGAUACCCUGGUAGUCCAUGCCGUAAACGAUGAGUGCU